CCAGCCCUGCCCACACUUUGAUCUCACAGACUUCCAGCCUUCAGAACUGUGGGAAAAUAAAAGUCUGCUGUUUAAGCGGCCCAGCCUGUAGUAUUUUGUCAUGGCAGCCCUAGGUGACUAAUACAACAGGUGUUUCAUCCUGUUCCUUUCCUCAGGUGGUGUUGCAGAGUACCCCAGCAUCUUUAGGUGGUGGUAGAAGAGACUCCAGCAUCUGCCAUAACCCCCGGAAGAGUGUUCUGUAUGUUACACUGUGGGGAGGUUUUCCUCAAAGCAUUAGAGUGAUCUGAACAAUGGGAAUCUUUGCACAGAGGAGGAUGAGUUCUACUCGGGGAUGGUACCUACUAAGAGAGACAUGUUGUCUUCUCUUCAAUUGCCCUUUAAUGAAGAAAUAAAAAUUAUUUAAUUAUUCGGUGAAGAAAUAAAAAGAGUAUUGCAUUCUUUCAACAGAGAUUCUGCACUUGUACUCCCAGCUCUCCAGCUCCAGCAGCACUGAGGCAGAUCUGAGUUUCUCGAAGCUGGGCCCAUCACCAACAAGACAGUGAUGGUGAAAGCAAUGAUAGAAGAGGUCGAAUUUAGAGUAAGGAUCAGGAUGGACAGGAGAGAGCUGAACUUCAAGGAUGCGAAUUUAUUUCCACACAGGGGAGAAACACUGAUUGGAGAAAAUUUACAGUUGCUGUUUAGACACUUGAGCCUCAGGAUCGAGAAAAGGUGCACCUCUUAGAUGGGCCUUAAAUUGGAGAUGAUGAUAUCUAACCACCUGGAGACGGGAAAGUAGGUGUCACUCAAUGCUGAACGGUGCUACUCAUCUGUGAGAUUGUAUAAUGAAGUUUUGGAGACUGAGCCUGUACCUUCAUCUGUUCUUUAACCAAUGCACACUUAACAAGCACGUCAUGUUUAGCUGCUCAGCAGAGCUUCCUUCUUCAGAAACAGAGACGGGGUGCGGAGGCAUUUUACAACCCAGGGGGCUCCAGCUUCAUAGACUGUCUUGUGAGGAUCUAUGCUGUUACUCUGAGGAUCAGCGUUGGUUUUCCAAGUCCUUCAUGAACAUAACAAGUCAAUGAUAAGACGACAAGUUCCACCGCUGUGCCUCA
Molecule: long non-coding RNA, 1091 nt
Filed under: Homo sapiens (human)
Lineage: Eukaryota; Metazoa; Chordata; Mammalia; Primates; Hominidae
Description: HSALNT0406848
Source: RNAcentral